Long non-coding RNA from Exaiptasia diaphana, 343 nucleotides. RefSeq lists it as uncharacterized. Lineage: Eukaryota; Metazoa; Cnidaria; Anthozoa; Actiniaria; Aiptasiidae. The record is from RefSeq and is a predicted model, not a curated record. The transcript is spliced from 3 exons.
UCACGUGUGUAGAAUUUAUUUUUCUCUAUUCAAAUAUUUGACAAUAUUAUCACUAUGAGCUGUGAAGAAAACACAAAGAAAGAAGACGUGUGUGAAAUCUGUGGUGGUAAAGAAGUCAAGUAUCGUUGCCCUUCUUGUAUGAGGCGGACAUGUAGUUUGCAGUGUGUCAAGCAUCAUAAAAAAUCGUAUAAUUGUGAUGGGAUACGUUGUAAAACGACGUAUGUAUCCAAAACUGACUACAACUACAAUAACAUGAUCAGUGAUUACAGGUUCCUGGAAGAUACUGAAAGAGUGGCUUAUAGUGCAAGUUCAAAUAAAAAACACAAAAAUUUCAACCGAUCUG